This 405-nucleotide ribosomal RNA is filed under the name uncultured bacterium. Its description in RNAcentral is "bacterial SSU rRNA". It matches the Rfam family "Bacterial small subunit ribosomal RNA", at positions 355 to 776 of the family's 1533-position model. The record is from RNAcentral.
UAGGGAAUAUUGCACCAUGGGCGAAAGCCUGAUGCAGCAACGCCGCGUGAGUGAUGAAGGCCUUCGGGUCGUAAAACUCUUUUCAAGGGGAAGAGGAAGGACGGUACCCUUGGAAUAAGCAUCGGCUAACUACGUGCCAGCAGCCGCGGUAACACGUAGGAUGCAAGCGUUAUUCGGAUUUACUGGGCGUAAAGCGCGUGUAGGCGGUUAGGAGAGUUGGAUGUGAAAGCUCCCGGCUUAACUGGGAGAGGUCGUUCAAAACUUCCUGACUAGAGUUUGGUAGAGGAAAAUGGAAUUCCGGGUGUAGUGGUGAAAUGCGUAGAUAUCCGGAGGAACACCAGUGGCGAAAGCGAUUUUCUGGACCGAUACUGACGCUCAGACGCGAAAGCUAGGGUAGCAAACGGG